UUUAAAAAAUUUAGAGCACAAUCUAUAGAAUAAAGUCUUAUGUUGCUAUCCAAUACUAUGGUACAAUAACUAAAAUUGAUGGAGAUUGAUGCCUUGCAAGGAUCACUAACAUCAUAGAGAUGACAAAUAUUGGCAUAGAAAAUAUUGUGUUUCUAUUGUUGGGAGCCAUGCUAUCAGAUUGGAGAUUGUCUAAAAUAUCAAAAUUCAAGCAUCAAAAGAUCAAGCUAAGUUUAC
This 234-nucleotide long non-coding RNA is filed under the name Physcomitrium patens. Its description in RNAcentral is "long non-coding RNA (PPAT_LNC003727)". Lineage: Eukaryota; Viridiplantae; Streptophyta; Bryopsida; Funariales; Funariaceae. The record is from RNAcentral.